Non-coding RNA from Microcebus murinus (gray mouse lemur), 885 nucleotides. The record is from RefSeq and is a predicted model, not a curated record. Lineage: Eukaryota; Metazoa; Chordata; Mammalia; Primates; Cheirogaleidae.
GACAGAUUGCAGUUGAGGAGAAACCACAAGGAAGGAAACAAAGUGGAGAAGUCAGGCCAUGGCUACAGGUAAAUGCCAAGGAGAAAGAAUCAGGAGGGAGAAGUGAAAGAUACAGGAAAGAGAAUUGACGAAUCUUAGUCACUAUGGGAACUAAGGGGGAUGGGUUCUGAGCAUGGGUAUAGGUUUUAACUUUAAAAUGAAAGAGGAAAGAUUAUCCUGUUGAUCAAGGAAGGAAGGAUAAGGGUGGAUGUAAAGACCAAGCAAUGUAAGUCUUAGUGGCAUGAGCUUAAGGAAUCACAGAUGAUAAACUCUAUCUUCCCUUUGCCAUCAGAGGUAGGCCAUUUGCUGGGAAUGUGAAGGUACUAGUGGAGUUGGAUAUCUGACUGUGUGAACAAGGAUUCAGGUGGCUGCUGUAGUGAACGGAAAGGAAGGGACUGGAAGGAUAUAGGGUUGACAUACAGCUGUUUGCCCUGAUCUCUGUGGAAUGCCCCUCACUUUGGUUCAAAGAACAAAAAAUAUCGAUAAGCAUUCUUUGGAAAAUUUUGUUGUGUAAUAGACGAAGGUGAGAGAAAGAAGGAAUCUUCCUUGGACCAAAGAUUUACAAGAGGACUGGGGAAAGUUUUAACCACAUAUAACUACACCAGGAUAUAUUAAAGUGCAUUAUCUCAGCCAGUUCCUACGGGAGGCCAGCACUGCUGCAUGGGUGGUAAAGAUGAGCCCUGGGGAGGAUGAAGCUCACUCUUCAAGAAGCUUUCCUGUGUCAGCGUGAGCUGCUACGUGUUGUGGCAGGCACCUGCACAAAUUUCCCUGCCCCUCACCUACUACCCUCAACCACCAGGACCACCUCAAAUGGUUGACAUAAAUUGGACAGGGUUGAACAAUAGU